GCGUGAGUAGUACAGUGGUUAGUAUAUUUCGUUGCCAACGAAGUGACCCGGGUUCGAAUCCCGGCUCGCGCA
This 72-nucleotide transfer RNA is filed under the name Nanobdellota archaeon. RNAcentral's name for it is "tRNA-Gly". It matches the Rfam family "tRNA". From Rfam's summary of the family: Transfer RNA (tRNA) molecules are approximately 80 nucleotides in length. The record is from RNAcentral. Lineage: Archaea; Nanobdellati; Nanobdellota.